UACUUCUGUCUUGUGCUCAUAUCGGAUAAAUCUUUCGCCUUUUACUAAAGAUUUCCGUGGAUGCGGGACACAAAGGAAGAUUACCCAAAUUUUUUGUCUCUUUCAAACAAGAAGGUC
Molecule: small nuclear RNA, 117 nt
Filed under: Mucor lusitanicus CBS 277.49
Lineage: Eukaryota; Fungi; Mucoromycota; Mucoromycetes; Mucorales; Mucoraceae
Description: Mucor circinelloides f. lusitanicus CBS 277.49 U5 spliceosomal RNA
Rfam family: U5 spliceosomal RNA
About the family: U5 RNA is a component of both types of known spliceosome. The precise function of this molecule is unknown, though it is known that the 5' loop is required for splice site selection and p220 binding, and that both the 3' stem-loop and the Sm site are important for Sm protein binding and cap methylation.
Source: Rfam by way of RNAcentral